Neonectria ditissima is the source of this 91-nucleotide transfer RNA. It matches the Rfam family "tRNA". From Rfam's summary of the family: Transfer RNA (tRNA) molecules are approximately 80 nucleotides in length. Their secondary structure includes four short double-helical elements and three loops (D, anti-codon, and T loops). Further hydrogen bonds mediate the characteristic L-shaped molecular structure. tRNAs have two regions of fundamental functional importance: the anti-codon, which is responsible for specific mRNA codon recognition, and the 3' end, to which the tRNAs corresponding amino acid is attached (by aminoacyl-tRNA synthetases). tRNAs cope with the degeneracy of the genetic code in two manners: having more than one tRNA (with a specific anti-codon) for a particular amino acid; and 'wobble' base-pairing, i.e. permitting non-standard base-pairing at the 3rd anti-codon position. The record is from Rfam. NCBI's taxonomy places the organism in Eukaryota, Fungi, Ascomycota, Sordariomycetes, Hypocreales, Nectriaceae.
GCCUUGUUCAUCUAGUGGUUAGGAUAUCAGCUUGUGGUCAAGAAAUUGGUUCAAGCCGCUGAAAACACUGGUUCGAUUCCAGUACAGGGCA